RNAcentral lists this long non-coding RNA (336 nucleotides) under Nicotiana benthamiana. RNAcentral describes it as "long non-coding RNA (NBEN_LNC003062)". Lineage: Eukaryota; Viridiplantae; Streptophyta; Magnoliopsida; Solanales; Solanaceae. The record is from RNAcentral.
GGAAGUCGUCUUUUGAACUGGCCCGGUUGAGAUCCCGGUAGUCGACAUAGACACUGACCUUCUCAUCCUUCUUUGGCACUGGCAUGAUAUUGGCUAACCAUGUUGGGUAUUACACUGCCCUGAUAACCUUAGAUUUGACUUGCUUAGUGACUUCUUCCUUGAUCUUCAAACUCAUAUCAGGCUUGGAAUUCCUGAGCUUUUGCUUUACUGAUGGAUGUGUUGGAUCGGUUGGCAGUUUAUGGGCCACAAUAGAUGUACUCAGACCAGUCAUGUCAUCAUACGACCAGGCAAAUAUGUGAUCAUAUUCCUUUAGAAAUUCUGUAUAUUCUUUCUUUU